Molecule: ribosomal RNA, 493 nt
Filed under: uncultured bacterium
Lineage: Bacteria
Description: bacterial SSU rRNA
Rfam family: Bacterial small subunit ribosomal RNA
Source: RNAcentral
GAUCCUGGCUCAGAUUGAACGCUGGCGGAAUGCUUUACACAUGCAAGUCGAACGGUAGAGGGGGCAACCCCUUGAGAGUGGCGAACGGGUGAGUAAUAUAUCGGAACGUGCCCAGUCGUGGGGGAUAACGUAGCGAAAGCUACGCUAAUACCGCAUACGAUCUAUGGAUGAAAGCGGGGGAUCGCAAGACCUCGCGCGAUUGGAGCGGCCGAUAUCAGAUUAGGUAGUUGGUGAGGUAAAGGCUCACCAAGCCGACGAUCUGUAGCUGGUCUGAGAGGACGACCAGCCACACUGGGACUGAGACACGGCCCAGACUCCUACGGGAGGCAGCAGUGGGGAAUUUUGGACAAUGGGCGCAAGCCUGAUCCAGCAAUGCCGCGUGCAGGAUGAAGGCCUUCGGGUUGUAAACUGCUUUUGUACGGAACGAAAAGGUUUGUCUUAAUACGAUGAGCUCAUGACGGUACCGUAAGAAUAAGCACCGGCUAACUACGUG